AUCUCCCCAAUUUCACUGUGGCCUAAGACUUACUGGAGUGAACCUGACCCACAGGCUAGGUGGGAGAACCACCUUCGCAGUCUAUCUUCAGUCCUUUUCCUGCAACCUUGACCAAAACGUCUACUGGGAUGUGAUCACGUAACAAGAGGAAUUAGCUAGGAAACACUGAUGUGAACACUUGGCAAGAAAGAGUCAUGCCUCUUGUGAUGGGAGAAGAGGCCUGAGAGGAGGAAUAGCGUGAUGCCAGCUCAAGACACCACUAAGUCAGCUCUGGGAUGCGAGGAGGAGACGGAAAGGAGAAGAACAAGGACAGACCACCUCUCCCACUCUACCUGUCCACAGCACGACCCCUGGUGCCUUACCAGUGCUCAGUAAUCAUGCACCUCCCGAUCAAANUGAUCCAUCCAGGCCAAACGACUGCCAGAAAGGAUAUUUCCAGCUCAUCCCUGGCUAGGCUCACACUGAUGGUGCAGAUGCCCUUCAGCACGCUUUCCCAGUUCCAGCACGCCCUGUCAACCUGGUGUUCCUGCUCUGGGGCAGGCGUUAAGAACACUGUGCUGUGGUUGAGGACCACCAGGACUGCAAUGGAAGAGGGUUCCAGGUACCUCUUUCUCGUGGCUGUGUGUGGAGGAAAGCAGGUGGAUGUGAAUGUCAGAGAACAGACACGCUGCAAACACAAGGCGAAGGGCAGACCAACGGGGAGCAAAUCCAAUCCAAAGAAUGGCAGAUGA
This 731-nucleotide long non-coding RNA is filed under the name Capra hircus (goat). RNAcentral's name for it is "lncRNA (ENSCHIG00010032506.1)". Lineage: Eukaryota; Metazoa; Chordata; Mammalia; Artiodactyla; Bovidae. The record is from RNAcentral.